UCACUACCGUAAAAACAAAAAUCACCACAAAAAAAAAGAGAAAUCAACACCAGAAAAUAAAAAUCACCACCGUAAAAAUAAAAAUCACCACAAGAAAAUGAAAAAAUCAACAUCAGAAAAUACAAAUCACCCCGUAACAACAAAAAUCACCACAUAAGCAACACCAACACCAUCUCCAUCUUCAGAUCCGUCAACACCAUCGACAUAAUUAUAAAACGUGACGGCGGAGCUUGGGUGCGGGCGUUGAAGUUGGAUCGAGGACGGGUAGCAGCGUGGCGUCAUCGACGACGGUAGCAGGAGUACUGAAAAUGGCGGCGAUUGUUUGUUGUGUGGCAAAGCCACCAUCACGGUGGUGGCAGCGACAAGAAAAGAGAUGCGGGAAGAGAUUGAAGGAGAAGGGGCAGGAGAGAGAACGGUGAUGUCGGAAAACAAGGUCGAUGACCAUGAUAACGCAUUGUUGGUGGACUUGACGGCGAUGAUGGUGGAGAAAUGAUGGGUUGGUC
This 503-nucleotide long non-coding RNA is filed under the name Daucus carota (carrot). RNAcentral's name for it is "long non-coding RNA (DCAR_LNC002282)". The record is from RNAcentral. Lineage: Eukaryota; Viridiplantae; Streptophyta; Magnoliopsida; Apiales; Apiaceae.